ACUUUCAACAACGGAUCUCUUGGCUCUCGCAUCGAUGAAGAACGCAGCGAAAUGCGAUAAGUAAUGUGAAUUGCAGAAUUCAGUGAAUCAUCGAAUCUUUGAACGCACCUUGCGCUCCUUGGUAUUCCGAGGAGCAUGCCUGUUUGAGUGUCAUUAA
RNAcentral lists this ribosomal RNA (157 nucleotides) under Hygrophorus olivaceoalbus ectomycorrhiza S15. Its description in RNAcentral is "5.8S ribosomal RNA". It matches the Rfam family "5.8S ribosomal RNA". From Rfam's summary of the family: 5.8S ribosomal RNA (5.8S rRNA) is a component of the large subunit of the eukaryotic ribosome. It is transcribed by RNA polymerase I as part of the 45S precursor that also contains 18S and 28S rRNA. Functionally, it is thought that 5.8S rRNA may be involved in ribosome translocation. The record is from RNAcentral. Lineage: Eukaryota; Fungi; Basidiomycota; Agaricomycetes; Agaricales; Hygrophoraceae.